GCCCAGACAUAAAUUCGUUGUUUCACAUCAAUAUGGCACCAGUGAUAUAGCUUUAAUUACAUUUCCUCUCUAUUUGAAUAAAUGAUAAUCAUUAAUCAUAAUGAUCUAAUUGGGGACACCCAUCCAAGCUGGAAAUCCCCAUACAUGUAACAAAGAAUCACAAGCAGUUUUUUGUUUCUUUUUUUCCUUUUCCUCCACCCUUUUUGGAGUGUCAAAUUUCCAUAAACUAUACCUAUGCCUAAGCACAUCAAAAGGCU
RNAcentral lists this unclassified non-coding RNA (257 nucleotides) under Hevea brasiliensis (rubber tree). Lineage: Eukaryota; Viridiplantae; Streptophyta; Magnoliopsida; Malpighiales; Euphorbiaceae. The record is from RNAcentral.